Molecule: ribosomal RNA, 1307 nt
Filed under: metagenome
Description: bacterial LSU rRNA
Rfam family: Bacterial large subunit ribosomal RNA
Source: RNAcentral
UUGAAUUUGGAAGAAGGCGAGAAAAGCUGUGUGAAUAGAAGAUAGAGCCCGUACCGCAAACCGACACAGGUAGAUAGGAAGAAGAUUCUAAGGCCAACGGGAGAAGGGUUGUUAAGGAACUCGGCAAGUUGACCCCGUAACUUAGGGAGAAGGGGUGCUCUUUAAGGAGAGCCGCAGAGAAUAGGCCCAAGCGACUGUUUAGCAAAAACACAGCUCUAUGCUAAAUCGAAAGAUGACGUAUAUGGGGUGACACCUGCCCGGUGCCGGAAGGUUAAGAGGAGGAGUGAGAGCUCUGAAUUGAAGCCCCGGUAACCGGCGGCCGUAACGAUAACGGUCCUAAGGUAGCGAAAUUCCUUGUCAGGUAAGUUCUGACCCGCACGAAUGGUGUAACGAUUUGGGCACUGUCUCAACAACCUGCCCGGCGAAAUUGUAGUACCGGUGAAGAUGCCGGUUACCCGCGACUAGACGGAAAGACCCCAUGGAGCUUUACUGCAGCUUAAUAUUGAAUUUCGGUAUUUCAUGUACAGGAUAGGUGGGAGACAGGGAACCAUAGGCGUCAGCUUAUGGGGAGUCGACCUUGGGAUACCACUCUUGAGGUGCUGGAAUUCUAACCUGUGGCUCUGAAUCGAGUCAGGGGACAUUGUUAGGCGGGCAGUUUGACUGGGGCGGUCGCCUCCAAAAAGGUAACGGAGGCGCUCAAAGGUUCGCUCAGCAUGGAUGGAAACCAUGCUUUUGAGUGUAAACGCAAAAGCGAGCCUAACUGCGAGACUGACGGGUCGAGCAGUAACGAAAGUUGGAGUUAGUGAUCCGGCGGUAUGUGAGUGGAAAUGCCGUCGCUCAACGGAUAAAAGCUACCCUGGGGAUAACAGGCUGAUCUCCCCCAAGAGUCCACAUCGACGGGGAGGUUUGGCACCUCGAUGUCGGCUCAUCGCAUCCUGGGGCUGAAUUCGGUCCCAAGGGUUUGGCUGUUCGCCAAUUAAAGCGGUACGCGAGCUGGGUUCAGAACGUCGUGAGACAGUUCGGUCCCUAUCUGUCGUGGGCGUAGGAUAUUUGAAAGGAGCUGUCCCUAGUACGAGAGGACCGGGAUGGACGCACCGCUGGUGCACCAGUUGUCAUGCCAAUGGCACAGCUGGGCAGCUAUGUGCGGAACGGAUAAACGCUGAAGGCAUCUAAGCGUGAAGCCGACCUUAAGAUAAGAUAUCACUUCGUAAGAGUAAGACCUCUCAUAGACUAUGAGUUUGAUAGGCCUAAGGUGUAAGCACAGUGAUGUGUUCAGCCUGCAGGUACUAAUCGGUCGAGGGCUUUUC